UGGGGAAUUUUGCACAAUGGGGGAAACCCUGAUGCAGCGACGCCGCGUGAUUUAGAAGGCCUUCGGGUUGUAAAAAUCUUUUGUAUGGGAAGAAAAUGACAGUACCAUACGAAUAAGGACCGGCUAAUUACGUGCCAGCAGCCGCGGUAAUACGUAAGGUCCGAGCGUUGUCCGGAAUCAUUGGGCGUAAAGGGUACGUAGGCGGAUAAGCAAGUUAGAAGUGAAAUCCUAUAGCUCAACUAUAGUAAGCUUUUAAAACUGCUCAUCUUGAGGUAUGGAAGGGAAAGUGGAAUUCCUAGUGUAGCGGUGAAAUGCGCAGAUAUUAGGAGGAAUACCGGUGGCGAAGGCGACUUUCUGGCCAUAUACUGACGCUGAGGUACGAAAGCGUGGGUAGCAAACAG
This 401-nucleotide ribosomal RNA is filed under the name Verrucomicrobiota bacterium. RNAcentral's name for it is "Verrucomicrobia bacterium partial 16S ribosomal RNA". It matches the Rfam family "Bacterial small subunit ribosomal RNA", at positions 355 to 775 of the family's 1533-position model. Lineage: Bacteria; Pseudomonadati; Verrucomicrobiota. The record is from RNAcentral.